GAGAGAGAGAGAGAGAGAGAGAGAGAGAGUGUGGAAAGAGGGUGAUUUUGAAGGGAAACAAAGAAAAGGGAAGAUUGAUGCAAAGAUUUGGGCUUACACAACUUGGAUUUCAAGAUCUUCACAAGAUUAAGAUUUGAGCUUGGUUUGAGAUUUGGUGUUGGAUAAGAAGGGAUUAAGCAAGGGUUUGACGAAUUGGCUAAGGUGAUAUAGGUACUAGCGCUAGUGCUCCGACUACGGAUCAGCAGGGAGGAGCGUGACGCGGAUGGCCUGGACUUGUGGUGGUUUGUUGUUUGAUUUUUGUGUGGUGUUUGGUUAAUCUUUGGCUUAAUUGUAUAUUGGGAUAUAUACAAGUAUGUAAUGUGUGGGAUGAAUGAUGAUUUUGGAUGGUGAGGCUUAAUGCCUUGGUAUGUAUGUGCGUAUGAAGAUUUAUGAUUGGGAUGAUAUGGCCUGAGGCCCUGGAUGUUUAGUUUGGUGGUAUGGAAAUUGUUGGUUUAAAUUGCUAUAUGUUGUGCAGGAGGCAUUCUCCGAUAUACGGGGAGGUGCUGCCGAAUUUUUGUUUAACAUUGUGUUGGUUUAAUGGUGAGUAAACGGUAUUUGAGUCCUUGUUUUGGGU
Molecule: long non-coding RNA, 613 nt
Organism: Tripterygium wilfordii
Lineage: Eukaryota; Viridiplantae; Streptophyta; Magnoliopsida; Celastrales; Celastraceae
Exons: 3
Source: RefSeq, a predicted model, not a curated record